Pistacia vera is the source of this 864-nucleotide long non-coding RNA. RefSeq lists it as uncharacterized. The transcript is spliced from 2 exons. The record is from RefSeq and is a predicted model, not a curated record. NCBI's taxonomy places the organism in Eukaryota, Viridiplantae, Streptophyta, Magnoliopsida, Sapindales, Anacardiaceae.
GGUUGUAUACAUGAUACAUGCAACUUAGGUUGUCUUUGAUUUCCAUUGUUUAGCAGCAAAAAAGUUACAAUAGCUUUUUUUUUUUUUUCUUGGGGAGCGUUAUUUGCAACUCAAUUAAGUUAAACAUCUUAUAUUGUUUGCUGCCUAGGAUUUCACAUGUAGUUAGAUAACAGACCUUCUAGGUACUGUUUGUAGUAGCUUAUUUUAUAGUCUCUGUUCAUCUUCCUUCUAUUCUGCAUACUGAAUGUUGUUCUUUGGCCUUUGCUUACUGCAGUUGCACGUUGGGAUGGGAUCGAAUUGCAUCCUCCUACUGUAGAAUCUGCCAACACUAGGAGUUUAAGCAUUGGCUAUGUUCUGGAUGAGUGGGAUGAGGAAUACGACCGUGGUAAAAGAAAGAAGCUAAGGAACCAAAAACACAGCUUUGGUGAACCAAAUCCUUUCCAAGAAAUCGCAACCAAGAAAACACAAUUCAAGAAGGCAAAGUUGAGCCACACGAGUUCCGGAGACCGACCAUUCAGGAUAUGAACAAACCAAUCCAUGUCCAUAGAGAGUGAGUAAUUUUGACCUGUGAGCCUUCUGUUAAAUGAUAAGUAAAUUUUUGUGUCUGGCAGCAAAACCAGUAACCCAGAAACACUCCAAACAUACCAAUAUUUUAGAAAGUUUUGGCCUUGCCUUUUCUGGGAUACGUUUGUUUGAGGUAUAGAACUUGGAGAUGAGCUUUUGUUUUAUUUUAUAACCUAAUUCUUCUUUGUGGGAACUGUAUGAACCAAAAGAGUAAUUUUCUUCAGAAUGUAAAAGCUAAAGAGCCAGGAGCCUUUUUUCUCCCCAUUUUUCUUUUCUGUAAUGCUAUAAAAUUUGUAUCCA